Molecule: ribosomal RNA, 427 nt
Filed under: uncultured bacterium
Lineage: Bacteria
Description: partial 16S ribosomal RNA
Rfam family: Bacterial small subunit ribosomal RNA
Source: RNAcentral
UGGGGAAUAUUGCACAAUGGGCGCAAGCCUGAUGCAGCCAUGCCGCGUGUAUGAAGAAGGCCUUCGGGUUGUAAAGUACUUUCAGCGGGGAGGAAGGUGUUGAGGCUAAUAACCUCAGCAAUUGACGUUACCCGCAGAAGAAGCACCGGCUAACUCCGUGCCAGCAGCCGCGGUAAUACGGAGGGUGCAAGCGUUAAUCGGAAUUACUGGGCGUAAAGCGCACGCAGGCGGUCUGUCAAGUCGGAUGUGAAAUACCCGGGCUCAACCUGGGAACUGCAUUCGAAACUGGCAGGCUAGAGUCUUGUAGAGGGGGGUAGAAUUCCAGGUGUAGCGGUGAAAUGCGUAGAGAUCUGGAGGAAUACCGGUGGCGAAGGCGGCCCCCUGGACAAAGACUGACGCUCAGGUGCGAAAGCGUGGGGAGCAAACA